RNAcentral lists this ribosomal RNA (810 nucleotides) under uncultured bacterium. Its description in RNAcentral is "bacterial SSU rRNA". It matches the Rfam family "Bacterial small subunit ribosomal RNA", at positions 8 to 796 of the family's 1533-position model. The record is from RNAcentral.
AGAGUUUGAUCAUGGCUCAGAACGAACGCUGGCGGCGUGGAUAAGACAUGCAAGUCGAACGAGAUUUUUUCCUGUAGCAAUACAGGGAAAAGUCUAGUGGCGAACGGGUGCGUAACACGUGGGCAAUCUGCCUUAAAGUGGGGGAUAGCUCGGCGAAAGCCGAAUUAAUACCGCAUGUGAUCAGGGGAGACAUCUUCCCGAAAUCAAAAGUGGCGCAAGCUACUGCUUUUUGAGGAGCCCGCGGCCUAUCAGCUAGUUGGCGAGGUAACGGCUCACCAAGGCUCUGACGGGUAGCUGGUCUGAGAGGACGACCAGUCACACUGGAACUGAGACACGGUCCAGACACCUACGGGUGGCAGCAGUCGAGAAUUUUUCUCAAUGGGGGAAACCCUGAAGGAGCGACGCCGCGUGGAGGAUGAAGGUCUUCGGGUUGUAAACUCCUGUCAUUUGGGAACAAGUGUCGGUACCUAACUGCUACCGGCUUGAUAGUACCAGAAGAGGAAGGGACGGCUAACUCUGUGCCAGCAGCCGCGGUAAUACAGAGGUCUCAAGCGUUGUUCGGAUUCAUUGGGCGUAAAGGGUGUGUAGGUGGCGCCGUAAGUCGGGUGUGAAAUUUCGGAGCUUAACUCCGAAACUGCAUUCGAUACUGCGGUGCUUGAGGACUGGAGAGGAGACUGGAAUUCAUGGUGUAGCAGUGAAAUGCGUAGAGAUCAUGAGGAAGACCAGUGGCGAAGGCGGGUCUCUGGACAGUUCCUGACACUGAGACACGAAGGCCAGGGGAGCAAACGGGAUUAGAUACCCUCGUAGUCC